This is a long non-coding RNA of Triticum dicoccoides, 1623 nucleotides long. RefSeq lists it as uncharacterized. The transcript is spliced from 3 exons. The record is from RefSeq and is a predicted model, not a curated record. NCBI's taxonomy places the organism in Eukaryota, Viridiplantae, Streptophyta, Magnoliopsida, Poales, Poaceae.
UCCCCCUGGAUCCCUCUCCCCCUCCGGAAGCCUCCUCGUCGGUGCUCGUCGCCGCGCGCCCACGGGCACAUAGUGCCGACAAGGCAUUAAUGGCGCACUGGCCGCUUCCUCCCCGUGUCCCCGAGCGUCGCUCGUGUCCGUGGGCCUCUGCUACUCAUCCGCUUCCCCCUCGUUGCGUUCUCGCGCCUCCCCGUGAUUGAUGAGCGUCACCAGGGCCUCGGCCGGACACGAGCGGCAGCACCCGAGCUGGAACCGCCUCACCCCGCCUAUAUAAGCCAGCCCCGGCCUCGUCUGAGCUUAUCACACGCCUCCACCAGCUCCCAAGAUCCCCCUAGCCACUAGCCGAGCCGGAGAAGCUCUCCUCGCCCACCAUUGCCGCCCUGGCCGCCGCCUCGGUCCUCCUAAAUUGGAGCUACCCGAGCCCCUCUUCCCCUUCUAGACACCACCACCAUUUUCCCCUCAUGUCGGGGAUCCUCCCCGUGCCCUCGACCCCUCGCCGGAGCUAGUGUGGUCACGCCUCCCAGAGUCCGGCCACCGCCAUUACUCUCGGCCACCACGUCAAACAACACCGCCCGAGCCUCUACCCCACCCCCUGACCUUUCCAUGAGCUUCCCCGGAGUCCAGCGCCCCUCCCCAUCCCAUUCGCGAGUUGCCGAAGUGGAUGUGGCCGUCGUCCUCAAGAUUGGCUGCCGUCCCCCCUUGAUUGUUGUUGCCGCGUGACGCCGCCGUUCUGUCCCUCCUCGGCGCUUGAUUCCCCUCAGGUUGGACGCGGUGGGCCAAGCCUCGCUCGCCGGCGCCGUCCCCACGGCCAGAGCCGGCCAGGCCAGUCGCCGGCCGAGCCCAGCCCCGCCUCUCCUCUAUUCUCUGUCGGGCGCGAGGGAGAAGCUAGGCGAGAAGAGAGAGAGAAAGAGGUGGAUAAGAAAGCGGAUUUGCUCGGAAGGCACUUUCUGUUUUCAGCCAUCAGGGGCCUGUUUGUAGAACUAUUUUUACAAAUUGGUCCCUAAACUUCGUCGGGCUAUAACUUCUUGCUCGUAACUCCGAUUGAGCCCCCUCCGAGAGAGAAUCUUUUCCGCGAAUCUUUUUGCAGUUUCACCGCACCUCUUCCCGGAGCAUCCUUCAUCCCCAGGCAAGCCACAACCCCCAUUUGCAUGAUAGCCAUGUAGUAGCAUUGGUUUUAAACUUGAAUAUUAAAUAACUGUCUAUUUGUUUUGAUACGGUUAUCAUUGUUUCGGUGAUGCUUAUAGAUAUGUGUUCACUUUCAUGCUAUGCUCUUCUACAUCUUGUUAUCUUGCACUUAUUACUAGUAUUAUUGUUAUAUGUCAUGCUUGGUAGUAGUACCUAUUGGCGUUGGUCGUGCUCCUCGGUGCAUGACUAUUGUCUACUACCGAGUACCGUCAAUAUGCAGGUUCCUUUGCAUCUAGCUGCUUAUAUGCUUACCUAGUAGUAUUCUUGACAUGUUCUUGCUUAGUAUUUUUGUUGAUGCUAGUGGUCAUGAUAUGCUUGUGAUGUUCAUGCUAGUCAGUAUGCCAUGAUCAUUCGGAUAUAUGCUUUAUUGUUGUUGAUAUGCUUGAUGAUUAUGUUGUACCCCAUGCUUAUGUUGAUAUCAUGCAUGAUAGUUGCAUC